Long non-coding RNA from Cucurbita moschata (crookneck pumpkin), 605 nucleotides. RefSeq lists it as uncharacterized. NCBI's taxonomy places the organism in Eukaryota, Viridiplantae, Streptophyta, Magnoliopsida, Cucurbitales, Cucurbitaceae. The transcript has 2 exons. The record is from RefSeq and is a predicted model, not a curated record.
AGAGAGAGAUAGAGAAAAUGUGUGUGAGAGAUGAUUGUUAUGAGUCCUUUUUCUUUUCUUGUAAGAUGGUAUUUAUAAGUGAUGAGUUUCAAAAGUUCUCAAACUUUGCUUGGCUGAUCAGUUUCUCAUUUUUUUCUCAAGAUGCCAUAGUUUUGAUGUGAAAAUACUGAAAUGACCUUGUACAGGUAGCAAUAUUUUGGUGCGGGAGUUGAAGUAAGAAGGGGGUUAAUUAGUCAUAAGACAAGAAACAAAUGGAAACGUGAUGAGAUUGUUGUCCAUUUGCUUGAUUGGUCGGUUACUUUGUCCUCUUAGAACUGAUCACUUUUUUUAUUCAUAUGGAUUGCAGGGUAUGAAGAAGGAAAAGAAUGGAAUCUUUUCUUUUUCUAAUCCUUUGCUCAAUCAAAGAACAAUUCAGAACAAUAAGCAAUCCGAUUAUUCUGCGCUUAUAUCGACCGAGAAGGAUUGGAUUAGCAAUGGGUUGUUCUCCAUUGAUGAAAAGCUUCAAUUAUAAUGCUGUAAACCAUGUGGCUUGUGAAUAUUGAUGUUGUGGGUGGAUAAUAAUGUGAUGAAAUGAAAUCCUUUUAUAUAUUUAGAGGAUUUUUAGG